CCUACGGGUGGCUGCAGUCGAGAAUCAUUCACAAUGGGGGAAACCCUGAUGGUGCGACGCCGCGUGGGGGAAUGAAGGUCUUCGGAUUGUACACCCCUGUCAUGUGGGAGCAAAUUAAAAAGAUAGUACCACACGAGGAAGAGACGGCUAACUCUGUGCCAGCAGCCGCGGUAAUACAGAGGUCUCACGCGUUGUUCGGAAUCACUGGGCGUAAAGCGUGCGUAGGCUGUUUCGUAAGUAGUGUGUGAAAGGCGCGAGCGCAACCCGCGGACGGCACAUGAUACUGCGAGACUAGAGUAAUGGAGGGGGAACCGGAAGUCUCGGUGUAGCAGUGAAAUGCGUAGAUAUCGAGAGGAACACUCGUGGCGAAGGCGGGUUCCUGGACAUUAACUGACGCUGAGGCACGAAGGCCAGGGGAGCGAAAGGGAUUAGAUACCCCUGUAGUC
RNAcentral lists this ribosomal RNA (446 nucleotides) under uncultured bacterium. Its description in RNAcentral is "partial 16S ribosomal RNA". It matches the Rfam family "Bacterial small subunit ribosomal RNA", at positions 338 to 795 of the family's 1533-position model. The record is from RNAcentral.